Pygocentrus nattereri (red-bellied piranha) is the source of this 600-nucleotide long non-coding RNA. Lineage: Eukaryota; Metazoa; Chordata; Actinopteri; Characiformes; Serrasalmidae. The record is from Ensembl.
GGUAGUUGCAAAGAUGAAAGAAGUAAUUGAAAAUGUUACAUUUCAAACCUCAACUCCUGCAUCCAACUGGUCAACAUCCACAACAUCUGUGGGCUCACCAGUUUCUGCAUGUGUUUCUCCUCAAGUAGUGUCUGAUGAUAUGGUGUGUCUUCUGCCAGGCUCUAAUGUUGAAGUCCCUAGACGAAAGCUUAACUCUCUGCGGACGGCAAAUCCGUCCGUGUACAUCGGGGACCUUGCUGUGCUUGUCUAUGGCAGGGAAACAUUGUCACAUUCAAGUUUGACAGGGAGACAGUCAGGGGCACACAAAGACGUGGAAUCAAAGCCACAACUCGAAAACACAAAACUUGAUGCUAUAAUUGGUCAUGCUCUAUCAAAGUUCCCUGACAUCAGUGUCCAAGAUGUGAGACGCAUCAUAAGAAAAAAAUGCAACAACGAAAGCUAUACCAGGCAAGCCACAGCAAAGAAGACCAUGUGAAAAGAACUUUUUUCCCCUUUAGUUGAACAUUUUUGGUUACAUUUGUGGUUCCUCUGUCUCAGGAUGACCAUUUAACAACUGUACAAAAUUGCUUGUGGGCAGCCAGGGACUGAUCUUGUAGAGGC